RNAcentral lists this long non-coding RNA (568 nucleotides) under Prunus persica (peach). Its description in RNAcentral is "long non-coding RNA (PPER_LNC000694)". Lineage: Eukaryota; Viridiplantae; Streptophyta; Magnoliopsida; Rosales; Rosaceae. The record is from RNAcentral.
CACCUAAAACUCAAAAGCCUUUUAAAUCUUCUGGGUUGUGGUUCAAACAGGGAUAUGGGAUCGUACCUUUUGUUUUAAUCAUCGCUGGUAUUGUUACAGGGAUUCUGGAGCAUUUUAGGAUUGUAUGUUUAACAAAAGAAGCAUAGCUUGAUUGUAAUUCUCUAAUAAAGUUUUGAGAAAGUCAUGUUUAAUUUGUUAAGCUAUCCCAAAUUCUGGGCCUCUUCGACAAACUCAUUCUUGUUAAAAUUUAACGUUCCAUUGAAAUUUUUAUGACAAAGAAUUAUAUGGUGUUGACGCUCAGCACACACCGAGCUCAUCUGCCCAAUAAAUACACGACACGUAGGCCUCGUGCACCGCACCAGAAGAAACGAGCAAAUCGACAUCGGCCUUGAACUUCGAGCUGCCUUAGAAAAUUCAAGAGGAUGCAAAUCAGCCACGUCGAUGACAAGACCCCCUCUGACCGCCAACCCGCCGUACGUCAUAAAACGUGCCCAUGUCCCUUCAAAAACCAAGUGUGAACCGCUCAAAUCACCACCUCAUCAGAUGGGACUACCGCUGUGCGCAACGG